GUGGGGAAUUUUGGACAAUGGGCGCAAGCCUGAUCCAGCCAUGCCGCGUGUGUGAAGAAGGCCUUUUGGUUGUAAAGCACUUUAAGCGAGGAGGAGGCUACCGAGAUUAAUACUCUUGGAUAGUGGACGUUACUCGCAGAAUAAGCACCGGCUAACUCUGUGCCAGCAGCCGCGGUAAUACAGAGGGUGCAAGCGUUAAUCGGAUUUACUGGGCGUAAAGCGCGCGUAGGUGGCCAAUUAAGUCAAAUGUGAAAUCCCCGAGCUUAACUUGGGAAUUGCAUUCGAUACUGGUUGGCUAGAGUAUGGGAGAGGAUGGUAGAAUUCCAGGUGUAGCGGUGAAAUGCGUAGAGAUCUGGAGGAAUACCGAUGGCGAAGGCAGCCAUCUGGCCUAAUACUGACACUGAGGUGCGAAAGCAUGGGGAGCAAACAGGAUUAGAAACCCCGGUAGUCC
This 451-nucleotide ribosomal RNA is filed under the name uncultured bacterium. RNAcentral's name for it is "partial 16S ribosomal RNA". It matches the Rfam family "Bacterial small subunit ribosomal RNA", at positions 354 to 796 of the family's 1533-position model. The record is from RNAcentral.